This 87-nucleotide ribosomal RNA is filed under the name Paenibacillus lautus. Lineage: Bacteria; Bacillati; Bacillota; Bacilli; Caryophanales; Paenibacillaceae. The record is from RNAcentral.
GUUCCCAUACCGAACACGACCGUUAAGCCUUCCAGCGCCGAUGGUACUUGGACCGAAGGGUCCCGGGAGAGUAGGACGUCGCCAAGC